Molecule: ribosomal RNA, 478 nt
Filed under: uncultured bacterium
Lineage: Bacteria
Description: partial 16S ribosomal RNA
Rfam family: Bacterial small subunit ribosomal RNA
Source: RNAcentral
GAUGAACGCUGGCGGCGUGCUUAACACAUGCAAGUCGAACGGGAAUUAUUUUAUUGACACUUCGGUCGAUUUAAUUUAAUUCUAGUGGCGGACGGGUGAGUAACGCGUGGGUAACCUGCCUUAUACAGGGGGAUAACAGUCAGAAAUGGCUGCUAAUACCGCAUAAGCGCACAGAGCUGCAUGGCUCAGUGUGAAAAACUCCGGUGGUAUAAGAUGGACCCGCGUUGGAUUAGCUGGUUGGUGGGGUAACGGCCCACCAAGGCGACGAUCCAUAGCCGGCCUGAGAGGGUGAACGGCCACAUUGGGACUGAGACACGGCCCAGACUCCUACGGGAGGCAGCAGUGGGGAAUAUUGCACAAUGGGGGAAACCCUGAUGCAGCGACGCCGCGUGAAGGAAGAGGUAUCUCGGUAUGUAAACUUCUAUCAGCAGGGAAGAUAGUGACGGUACCUGACUAAGAAGCCCCGGCUAACUACGUG